This 581-nucleotide ribosomal RNA is filed under the name Rhodococcus (subgen. Prescottella) equi. RNAcentral's name for it is "Prescottella equi bacterial SSU rRNA". It matches the Rfam family "Bacterial small subunit ribosomal RNA", at positions 346 to 942 of the family's 1533-position model. Lineage: Bacteria; Bacillati; Actinomycetota; Actinomycetes; Mycobacteriales; Nocardiaceae. The record is from RNAcentral.
GAGCAGCAGUGGGAAUAUUGCACAAUGGGCGAAAGCCUGAUGCAGCGACGCCGCGUGAGGGAUGACGGCCUUCGGGUUGUAAACCUCUUUCAGCAGGGACGAAGCGAGAGUGACGGUACCUGCAGAAGAAGCACCGGCCAACUACGUGCCAGCAGCCGCGGUAAUACGUAGGGUGCGAGCGUUGUCCGGAAUUACUGGGCGUAAAGAGCUCGUAGGCGGUUUGUCGCGUCGUCCGUGAAAACUUGGGGCUCAACCCCAAGCUUGCGGGCGAUACGGGCAGACUUGAGUACUGCAGGGGAGACUGGAAUUCCUGGUGUAGCGGUGAAAUGCGCAGAUAUCAGGAGGAACACCGGUGGCGAAGGCGGGUCUCUGGGCAGUAACUGACGCUGAGGAGCGAAAGCGUGGGUAGCGAACAGGAUUAGAUACCCUGGUAGUCCACGCCGUAAACGGUGGCGCUAGGUGUGGGUUUCCUUCCACGGGAUCCGUGCCGUAGCUAACGCAUUAAGCGCCCCGCCUGGGGAGUACGGCCGCAAGGCUAAAACUCAAAGGAAUUGACGGGGCCCGCACAAGCGCGAGCAUGU